RNAcentral lists this ribosomal RNA (515 nucleotides) under Acyrthosiphon pisum (pea aphid). RNAcentral describes it as "eukaryotic LSU rRNA". It matches the Rfam family "Eukaryotic large subunit ribosomal RNA", at positions 1 to 449 of the family's 3401-position model. The record is from RNAcentral. Lineage: Eukaryota; Metazoa; Arthropoda; Insecta; Hemiptera; Aphididae.
UCGGACCGCAGCUGCCGUGUAAUUUUAAGAAACAAACAACCGAUACGUUCCGACCUCAGAUCAGGCGGACUACCGCGAUUAAGCAUAUUAAUAAGCGGAGGAAAACAAAACAACCCGUGAUCCCUUAGUAGCGCGACGAACCGGGAAAAGCCCAUCGCCGAAUCUCGCGCGCACUUUUGUGUCCGCCGUAUGAGAGUUGUGGCGUACGGGCCGGCCUCGUUGCCGGGCGCACGUGACGGUCCAAGUCUCCCUUGAACGGGCCAUGGCCCGCAGAUGGUGCCAGGCCAGUAGAGGCCGUCACAGCGUUCCGGGAUCGGACCGCGCCUUCGAGUCGGGUUGCUUGAGAGUGCAGCCCGAAGCGGGUGGUAAACUCCAUCUAACCGUAAAUACGGCCACGAGACCGAUAGUUUACAAGUACCGUGAGGGAAAGUUGAAAACAAUUUGAAGAGAGAGUUCAUAAGAACGUGAAACCGCUCGGUUGUAAACGGACAGAGCUCGCGAAUCCCCGCCGGGCG